UUUCUAUAGAAACCAAAGAUGAAAGUUGAAGGGCUGUUUAUUGCUUACACACAUUACUUCUGAGUUUCCUUGAUAUGACGUUUGGAGCUGGAGGUCAUACUACAGCUCUUCUACAGAAAACCAGUGACAUUACAGUACAUGCACUAGACAGGGACCCCACGGCUUAUGAAAUAGCUCAACAACUCUCAGAAUCUUACCCAGGUUUAAACCAAGUUGGGGCUCCUGAAAGACAGCCUGUUUUACCCCAUCUGCCUUCAGAAAGGAAAGCAUAAGGUGUGUGUAAUCUCACUCAACUUGUCUGUAUUAUCUUCAAGUCCUGCAAUGUAUUGUUUU
Molecule: long non-coding RNA, 333 nt
Filed under: Apteryx owenii (little spotted kiwi)
Lineage: Eukaryota; Metazoa; Chordata; Aves; Apterygiformes; Apterygidae
Description: lncRNA (ENSAOWG00000005706.1)
Source: RNAcentral